AUUGAACGCUGGCGGAAUGCUUUACACAUGCAAGUCGAACGGCAGCACGGACUUCGGUCUGGUGGCGAGUGGCGAACGGGUGAGUAAUGUAUCGGAACGUGCCCAGUCGUGGGGGAUAACGUAGUGAAAAUUACGCUAAUACCGCAUACGAUCUAUGGAUGAAAGCGGGGGAUCGCAAGACCUCGCGCGAUUGGAGCGGCCGAUAUCAGAUUAGGUAGUUGGUGGGGUAAAGGCCGACCAAGCCAACGAUCUGUAUCUGGUCUGAGAGGACGAUCAGCCAAACUGGAACUGAGACACGGUCCAGACUCCGACGGGAGGCAGCAGUGGGGAAUUUUGGACAAUGGGCGAAAGCCUGAUCCAGCCAUUCCGCGUGCAGGAUGAAGGCCCUCGGGUUGUAAACUGCUUUUGUACAGAACGAAAAGGUUUCUACUAAUACUAGGAGCUCAUGACGGUACUGUAAGAAUAAGCACCGGCUAACUACGUGCCAGCCGCCGCGGUAA
This 500-nucleotide ribosomal RNA is filed under the name uncultured bacterium. RNAcentral's name for it is "partial 16S ribosomal RNA". It matches the Rfam family "Bacterial small subunit ribosomal RNA", at positions 30 to 523 of the family's 1533-position model. The record is from RNAcentral.